GACGAACGCUGGCGGCGUGCCUAAUACAUGCAAGUUGAGCGCUGAAGGUUGGUACUUGUACCGACUGGAUGAGCAGCGAACGGGUGAGUAACGCGUGGGGAAUCUGCCUUUGAGCGGGGGACAACAUUUGGAAACGAAUGCUAAUACCGCAUAAAAACUUUAAACACAAGUUUUAAGUUUGAAAGAUGCAAUUGCAUCACUCAAAGAUGAUCCCGCGUUGUAUUAGCUAGUUGGUGAGGUAAAGGCUCACCAAGGCGAUGAUACAUAGCCGACCUGAGAGAGUGAUCGGCCACAUUGGGACUGAGACACGGCCCAAACUCCUACGGGAGGCAGCAGUAGGGAAUCUUCGGCAAUGGACGAAAGUCUGACCGAGCAACGCCGCGUGAGUGAAGAAGGUUUUCGGAUCGUAAAACUCUGUUGGUAGAGAAGAACGUUGGUGAGAGUGGAAAGCUCAUCAAGUGACGGUAACUACCCAGAAAGGGACGGCUAACUACGUG
RNAcentral lists this ribosomal RNA (497 nucleotides) under uncultured bacterium. Its description in RNAcentral is "partial 16S ribosomal RNA". It matches the Rfam family "Bacterial small subunit ribosomal RNA", at positions 28 to 507 of the family's 1533-position model. The record is from RNAcentral.